AUAUCAUAGUCCACAGUAAUAUCACAAAAGAGCACCACUGAGAUACUAUUUUAUGACACAUUAUUUUUGCAUGAAAACCUAUGCUCUGCUUUCCUCAUACUUGCAUUGUUUAAUUUUUGGUAAUACCAAGCAUUGAGAAACGGUUAUCUUUUCCUUUACAACAAUGACCUUUGACACUGGGUGGAAUUUUAUAAGCUUGCUUUUUAAAAAUAUUGCAAAUAAAAUUGAGUAUUAGAAAGGGGCACAGUAAGAACAAAAAAAUCAUAAAGGAGAUUUUUAAAGUAUCCUAGAUUUUUAAAAUCUAGUGUAUCUAAACAUAAGGACUUCAACUCAUUUAAAAAAUCUACUUCAUAUAUUUUUUCUGUUUGUCUUCAUAAACAUAUAUGUUUAUCAAGAUACAAGAUUACAUAAGUAUAUAUUUAUAAUCUUGUUUCCAGUUGGCAUCUGAGAGUAAGUUGGCAUCACUGCUAUACAUAUACACAUAAAUGUGAAUAUAUAUGAAUAUAUAUGCACAUGUUUAUUUUUCAUAUGUGAAACCAUAGAUCUAUAAUUGCAUGGAUAUACUUGGAUCUGAUUUAUCUUGUUAAAAAUGAC
Molecule: long non-coding RNA, 594 nt
Filed under: Marmota monax (woodchuck)
Lineage: Eukaryota; Metazoa; Chordata; Mammalia; Rodentia; Sciuridae
Source: RNAcentral